This is a non-coding RNA of Xylaria digitata, 79 nucleotides long. NCBI's taxonomy places the organism in Eukaryota, Fungi, Ascomycota, Sordariomycetes, Xylariales, Xylariaceae. The record is from the annotation of a GenBank genome assembly.
GGUUUUGUGGGGUAGUGGUAACCCGGCGUAUGAUUCUGUCUAGAAACCGCAAAGGUUGGUUUGAUUCCAACCAAGGCCA